RNAcentral lists this ribosomal RNA (226 nucleotides) under uncultured bacterium. RNAcentral's name for it is "partial 16S ribosomal RNA". It matches the Rfam family "Bacterial small subunit ribosomal RNA", at positions 28 to 254 of the family's 1533-position model. The record is from RNAcentral.
GACGAACGCUGGCGGCGUGCUUAACACAUGCAAGUCGAGCGGUAAGGCCCUUUCGGGGGUACGACGAGCGGCGAACGGGUGAGUAACACGUGGGUGACCUGCCCUCAGCUCUGGGAUAAGCCUGGGAAACUGGGUCUAAUACCGGAUAUGACUCCAUGACGCAUGUUGUGGGGUGGAAAGCCUUGUGCGGCUGAGGAUGGGCCCGCGGCCUAUCAGCUUGUUGGGG